This is a non-coding RNA of Pelobates cultripes (western spadefoot toad), 491 nucleotides long. NCBI's taxonomy places the organism in Eukaryota, Metazoa, Chordata, Amphibia, Anura, Pelobatidae. The record is from the annotation of a GenBank genome assembly.
ACCAGAAAUAGGCUAAUUGGACCCAAUUUGGACAUUUCCACUUAUGGGUGUACUCACUUUUGUUGCCAACGGUUUAGACAUUAAUGGCUGUGUGUUGAGUUAUAUUGAGGGGACAGCAAAUUUACACUGUUAUACAGGCUGUACACUUACUACUUUACAUUGUAGCUGAGUGUCAUUUCUUCAGUGUUGUCACAUGAAAAGAUAUAAUAAAAUAUUUACAAAAAUGUGAUGGGUGUGCUCACGUUUGUGAGAUACUGUGUAUAAAUUUAACACAGAGCAGGUAAAAGAUUAUCAACCAUGAUUACAGGUGCAUUCUGUUUUGAGAUAUGUAGAGAGGGAUCUCCUAAAGGAUUUCCAGCUGAGUGUGAAUUUGAAGUGUCCGAGUGGUUAUUCCAUAAUUGCGGUGAUCUGUAGGAAAAUGAUGAUCGAGCCGCUUUCUCUUUGUAUUGUGAUAGACUAAAUAAAGUGCUGGUACUGGAAUUUAUUUUAAA